RNAcentral lists this ribosomal RNA (256 nucleotides) under uncultured bacterium. RNAcentral describes it as "partial 16S ribosomal RNA". It matches the Rfam family "Bacterial small subunit ribosomal RNA", at positions 524 to 776 of the family's 1533-position model. The record is from RNAcentral.
UACGUAGGGGGCUAGCGUUGUCCGGAAUCAUUGGGCGUAAAGAGCGUGUAGGCGGCCCGGUAAGUCCGCUGUGAAAGUCGGGGGCUCAACCCUCGAAUGCCGGUGGAUACUGUCGGGCUAGAGUGCGGAAGAGGCGAGUGGAAUUCCUGGUGAUAGCGGUGAAAUGCGCAGAGUAUCAGGAGGAACACCGAUUGCGAAGGCAGCUCGCUGGGACGUAACUGACGCUGGAGACGCGAAAGCGUGGGGAGCAAACAGG